RNAcentral lists this ribosomal RNA (225 nucleotides) under Lophius budegassa (black-bellied angler). Its description in RNAcentral is "partial 16S ribosomal RNA". The record is from RNAcentral. Lineage: Eukaryota; Metazoa; Chordata; Actinopteri; Lophiiformes; Lophiidae.
UAUGGAGCUUUAGACACCAAGGCAGAUCACGUUAAAAACCCCCGAAUAAGGGAAUAAACAAGAUGAAGACUGCCCUAUGUCUUUGGUUGGGGCGACCGCGGGGCAAAAAGUACCCCCCAUGUGGAAAGGGAACACCCUUCCUAUCACCCAGAGCUACCGCUCUAAUUAUCAGAACAUCUGACCAAAAGAUCCGGCUCAAGCCGAUCAACGGACCGAGUUACCCUA